GUGGGACAGAGCUUACAUCAUUAUUUGGGAAGAAAUGUACUCUACUACACAGCAGGAGAUGUAACAACAAAAUGACAACCUGAUCUCUGUCCACUAUGCACUUCCAGCAUAUGAAGGGGAAAUAUUUUAAGGAAAAUAAAGGUGACCUCUCUGUGUGUGAGUGGGGCAUCCCCCAAAGAGGCUGAAGCGCUGCUGCCCUCCUGCUGCAGAACUCCUCCUCCUCACCCACCUUCCAGCCAGGCUCACAGCUGAGUGCUUGACUGCUUCGUGCCUUGGUGGAGCAUUUUCCUGGGCUGUAUUUCCUCCGGUGUUGCUCACAGCGCAGGUAGAAGCCUCCAUCCAUCUCCCUCUCCUCAGCAUACGACGGCUGAUCAUUGCUGUGCAUCUGUCUUUGGCAGCGGGAAGAGGGAUAGCA
RNAcentral lists this long non-coding RNA (415 nucleotides) under Coturnix japonica (Japanese quail). RNAcentral's name for it is "lncRNA (ENSCJPG00005008212.1)". Lineage: Eukaryota; Metazoa; Chordata; Aves; Galliformes; Phasianidae. The record is from RNAcentral.